UGUGGUAUUAGGUAUGAUCUCUGCUCUCUCAUUUCUGAUUUUGAGUCCUCUCUCUUUUUUUUCCUUUGUCUAGCUAAAGGCUUGUCAAUUUUAUCUUUUAAAAAACCCAGCUUUUUCAUUAAUGUUUUCUAUUUUUUUUCCUGGCAUCUAUUUCAUUUAUUUCUGGUCUAGUCUUUGUUACUUCCUUCUUUCUGCUAGCUUUGGGUUUGGUUUGUUCUUUUUGUUGUUCCUUAAGUGUGAAGUUAGGUUGUUUAUUUGAAGUCUUUUUUUUUUUUUUAAUGUAGACAUUUGUCACUAUAAGCUUCCCCAUUUUAACACUGCUUUUGCUGUAAGUUUGGUAUGUUGUGUUUCUAUUUUGUUUCAAGAUAAUUUUUUAUUUCUUCUUCUUUUUAAAGAUUUUAUCUAUAUAUUUGACAGAGAGAGAGCACAAGCAGGGGGAGCGGCAGGUAGAGGGAGGGGGAGAAGCAGGCUUCCCACUGAGCAGGGAGCCCGAUGCAGGGCUCGAUCCCAGGACCCUGAGAUCACGACCUGAGCUGAAGGCAGAUGCUUAACCGACUUAGCCACCCAGGCACCCCGAUAAUUUUUUCUUUUUUGAUUCCUUCUUUGACCCAUUGGUUGUACAGGAGUGUGUUAAUUCCCACAUAUUUGUGAAUUUUCCAGGUUUCCUCUUGUUACUGACUUCUAGUUUCUUACCAGUGUGUUGGAAAAGAUACUUGGUAUGAUUUAAAUCUUAAAUUUGCUAAGACUUGUUUUGUGAUAUAUGAUCUGUCCUGCAGAGUGUUAUGUGUGCACUUCGGAAGAAUGUAUGUUCUGCUGCUCUUUAAUGCGGUGUUCUGCAUAUAUUUGUUGGGUGCAUUUGGUCUGUAGUUGAAGUCCAAUAUUUUCUUAUUGAUUUUCUGUCUGGAUGUUCUACCCAUGGUUGAAAGUGUGGUAUUGAAUUCCCCUACUAUAACUGGAUCGUUGUAUAUUUCUCCCUUCAGAUGUUAGUAUUUACUUAAUAUAGUUACUCUAAUGUUGGGUACAUAUAUGAUUGUUAUGUCCUCUUGAUGAAUUGACCUUUUUAUCAUUAUAUAAUGAACUCCUUUGUCUCUUGUUAUAGUUUGUGGUUUAAGGUCUAUUUUGUCUAAGUGUGGCUAUCCCUGCUGUCUCUUGGUUUCCACUUGUAUAGAAUAUCUUUUUCCAUCUCUUCAUUUUAAGCUGUGUGUAUCCUUAAAGCUGAAGUGAGUCUCUUGUAGGCAACAUAUAGUUGGAUCUUAUUUUUUAAUCCAUUUAUAUCAAGAGUAAUUAUUGAUAAGUAAGGGCUUACUGAUGUCAUCUGAUUAAUUGUUCUCUGGCUGUUUUUUAAAAAGUUCCCUUGUACCUUUCUCUCUCUUUUGCUGUCUUCUUUUGUGAAUUGAUGAUUUUCUGUAGUGUUAUGCUUUGAAUCCCUUGCCUUUAUCUUUUGCGUAUCUAUUAUAGGGUUUUGUUUUGUGGUUACCAUGAGGCUUACGUAAAAUAUCUUAUAGAUACAGCAGUCUGUUCUGUACUGAUAACAACUUUACUUCAACCAUAUGCAAAACUCUACCCUUUUACUUUCCCUCUUUGUACAUUUUUUAUGUCAAGUUUAUCUCUUUUUAUAUUGUGGAUUCUUUAACAAAUGAUAGUAGCUAUAAUUAUUUUUAAUACCUUUGUCCUUUAACCUUUAUACUAGAGUUAAAUGGUGAAUACACCACCAUGUUACAGUAUUAGAAUAUUCUGAAUUUGACUAUACAGUUGGCCCUUGAACAAUGUGGGUUAGAAUCGUGCAGGUCCACUUAUACAUGGAAAUUUUUUAGAGUUGACAACAAAAGCCACAAGUCAUUUAUUUACAACUGCCCCAUCCCCACCGUCGUCACAGACUGAAUAAAAGGUGACUGGUGCAGGUCAUACCUGCUGCUCUCUGGGUAUCUGCGGAGGCCCACAGAGGCUGUUGGCAACCACAGGGGGCCCAGGACCAGGCAGGGGUGCAGGGUACCCUGUGUGUGCUGGGAGCUGCAAAGGGAGCCCCGUAUCCCACUACCCCUGCCCCUUGAGUGCUCCAGACAUGCUUCAGGGCUGUGCCGGGGCAGCCGUGGACCUUGGGCCCCUCCAGGGCGAAGUGUGGACCCCUUCCUGCAGUGGCCUACACCCUCAGAGGUUGAUGCACUCACGUGUAGCUUCAACUGCUGAUGGCCACAGGCCCGUGGUGUACCUCCAAGCAGAUGGGCAGCUUUAUUGCAUCUCUAGGCCACUGUCAUUGCUGUGGGCCAUCCUGGUGGCUGCUGCCACUAAGCCAAAACCACCAGGCCAUGGAACAUCGCCAUCCCAGGGUGCCCUACCCAACUGGCCUGGCCCACCUACACGUGGAUUUUUUUCAAUAAAUAUACAUAUGGUACUGUACUUGCUCUUCCUUAUGAUUUUCUUUCUUUCUUUUUUUUUUUUUUUAAGAUUUUAUUUAUUUGACAGAGAGAGACACAGCAAGAGAGGGAACACAAGCAGGGGGAGUGCGAGAGGGAGAAGCAGGCUCCCCACAGAGCAGGGAGCCCGACGUGGGGCUCGAUCCCAGGACCCUGGGAUCAUGACCUGAGCCGAAGGCAGACGCUUAACGACUGAGCCACCCAGGCGCCCCUCUUUUUUCUUCUUUACAGGUGUGCUACACAUUUUGUAACUAUCCCACAGUUCUUGGGUAUUUUGUUCCAUAUUUUUCAUUCCUUUUUCUCUUUUGUUUAGGAGGUUACUAGUGACAUAUGUUCAAACUCAUGGAUUCUUUCCUUGGCCAUGUCCAGUUCAGUGAUGAACUCACCAGAGGUAAAAGCCAGAGGUCUAAUGCAAGAAUUAGGUCCAAGGGAGAAGCCCAAGCUGGAGUGGAAAUAUUUCUAAAAUAGUUCCCAAACUGAGGUACAUCAAAGCCCAAACAGAGGUAUGAGGACCAAGGAAAAUAAGACCAUCAAGCUUAGAGGAGCUCCAGACAACCUCCCCAGGGAGAUCACAGAGGGUGGAAUCAGGGCACGUCAGAUUCCUCAGAGCACAGGGCUGGUAUAAAGCAGCCUCAGUAAGUACUUGACCUGAACUGAUCCUUAGGAAGCCCAGACACAAUACUGGGCAGCAACAUGAACAAGUGGUCAGCCUACAGCUCUCACAUCAGUUUGUCUCAGUGCCCCUCUCUAUGGAGAGUCAGCGAGCAGGCUUCCCCAACUCAAGCAAGGACUCCAUUGAGGGGAUUCAGAGACAUCAGCACUAAGAACAUCCAUCUGUCUCGGAAGCAGACAACGAACCAUUGAAUGAAGACAAGUGCAGAGCCCAGCCAGGAAGCUGAGAGUCCAGGCCUGUCCACGCUGCCUGCAGGGCAGUCCUGAGGAACCAGCACCAGGCAGUACAUAUCACAGAUGCCCUCAGGAACAGAGAGACCAAGGGCACGGCAGAGGUGUUGAAACAGCAAGCAGGCUUUAAUGGAGGGUGUACAGCCAGGGUGACCCCAGCCUCUUCGGUUACAUUAGCUUCUUUUUUCUCCUCAGGACAUAGGCAGGAAGAAGGCCUGUUUUCUAACGAGAACCUAGAAAUCAGUCUCCAUCCCCAAGCUGUAUUACGUGGGCUGGUUCAGAUCUCUCUCACUCUGAUUGGCUUGCAAUCUGUUUUCAAGCAUUUUCCUUCCUUGAGAAUAGGAGUCUUCUCACAUUCAUCUAUGUCUUGAGUCACCCUGGAAUUAAGCUGCCUCUACGCUAGCUGUUUCCUCUGCCUAGAACACCCUUCCACAGAUAUCUGCAUGGCUAGCUCCCUCACCUCCUUUAUCCUUCCAGUCUUCACUCAGACAUUACCUACUUGACAAGGUUCUGUUACAGUCUGCCCCCUCCGCCAACCCCCUGGCAUUCCCAAUCUCCCACACUUAGCUCUGUACUUUUCCAUAACUCUCAUCAACUUCUCUGUCUUUGCUUCUUCUGCAGUUUGAAUAGGAUAUGCCUAGUUAUAUCAUAUCACUUAUGUACUGAUUACAUCUUAGUAUCACUACAGUGUAAGCUCGGUAAGAGCAGGGACUUUCGUCUGCUCACUGAUAUCCCAAGUGCACAGAGAUGGAACACAAAAGGCAUUCAAUAUGGGCGCUUGGGUGGCUCAGUUGGUUAAGCGACUGCCUUCGGCUCAGGUCAUGAUCCCGGAGUCCUGGG
Mirounga angustirostris (Northern elephant seal) is the source of this 4157-nucleotide long non-coding RNA. RefSeq lists it as uncharacterized. The record is from RefSeq and is a predicted model, not a curated record. The transcript has 3 exons. Lineage: Eukaryota; Metazoa; Chordata; Mammalia; Carnivora; Phocidae.